AUGCUCGCUUCAGCAGCACAUAUACCAAAUUCGGAACCAAACAGAGAUCAGUAUGGUCCCUGCACAAGGAUGACAUGCAAAUUCGUGAAGUGUCCCAUAUUUUA
Small nuclear RNA from Myotis lucifugus (little brown bat), 104 nucleotides. The record is from Ensembl. NCBI's taxonomy places the organism in Eukaryota, Metazoa, Chordata, Mammalia, Chiroptera, Vespertilionidae.